ACGAAAGUCUGACGGAGCAACGCCGCGUGUACGACGAAGGCCUUCGGGUUGUAAAGUACUGUCUUCAGGGACGAACGGUAGAGGUGUAAAUAAUGCCUUUACACGACGGUACCUGAGGAGGAAGCCCCGGCUAACUACGUGCCAGCAGCCGCGGUAAUACGUAGGGGGCAAGCGUUGUCCGGAAUCAUUGGGCGUAAAGGGCGCGUAGGCGGAUAUUUAAGUCUGGUGUGAAAACCUAGGGCUCAACCCUGGGACUGCAUCGGAAACUGGGUAUCUUGAGGACAGGAGAGGAAAGUGGAAUUCCACGUGUAGCGGUGAAAUGCGUAGAUAUGUGGAGGAACACCAGUGGCGAAGGUGACUUUCUGGACUGUAACUGACGCUGAGGCGCGAAAGCGUGGGGAGCAAACAGGAUUAGAUACCCUGGUAGUCCACGCCGUAAACGAUGAGUGCUAGGUGUAGAGGGUAUCGACCCCUUCUGUGCCGCAGUUAACACAAUAAGCACUCCGCCUGGGGAGUAC
RNAcentral lists this ribosomal RNA (518 nucleotides) under uncultured bacterium. RNAcentral's name for it is "bacterial SSU rRNA". It matches the Rfam family "Bacterial small subunit ribosomal RNA", at positions 375 to 883 of the family's 1533-position model. The record is from RNAcentral.